This 460-nucleotide ribosomal RNA is filed under the name uncultured bacterium. RNAcentral describes it as "SSU rRNA". It matches the Rfam family "Bacterial small subunit ribosomal RNA", at positions 26 to 518 of the family's 1533-position model. The record is from RNAcentral.
AGAAUCAACGCUGGCGGCGUGCCUAACACAUGCAAGUCGAACGAGAAAGUGGAGCAAUCCAUCAGUAAAGUGGCGCACGGGUGAGUAACACGUGACUAACCUACCUUUUAGUGGGGGAUAACCUAGGGAAACCUGGGCUAAUACCGCAUAAUACCUACGGGUCAAAGCAGCAAUGCGCUGAAAGAGGGGGUCGCGGUCGAUUAGUUAGUUGGCAGGGUAAUGGCCUACCAAGACUGUGAUCGAUAUCCGGCCUGAGAGGGCGCACGGACACACUGGAACUGAAACACGGUCCAGACUCCUACGGGAGGCAGCAGUGGGGAAUUUUGCGCAAUGGGGGAAACCCUGACGCAGCAACGCCGCGUGGAGGAUGAAGUCCCUUGGGACGUAAACUCCUUUCGAUCGGGACGAUAAUGGCGGUACCGGAAGAAGAAGCCCCGGCUAACUUCGCGCCAGCAGCCGC